RNAcentral lists this transfer RNA (71 nucleotides) under Sphaerodactylus townsendi. RNAcentral describes it as "tRNA-Ala". It matches the Rfam family "tRNA". From Rfam's summary of the family: Transfer RNA (tRNA) molecules are approximately 80 nucleotides in length. Their secondary structure includes four short double-helical elements and three loops (D, anti-codon, and T loops). Lineage: Eukaryota; Metazoa; Chordata; Lepidosauria; Squamata; Sphaerodactylidae. The record is from RNAcentral.
GGGACUGUGGUUCAAUGGCAGAGCAUCUGCUUUGCAUGCAGCAAGGCCAAUUUCAAUUCUUGGCAUCACCA